RNAcentral lists this ribosomal RNA (830 nucleotides) under uncultured bacterium. RNAcentral describes it as "bacterial SSU rRNA". It matches the Rfam family "Bacterial small subunit ribosomal RNA", at positions 59 to 889 of the family's 1533-position model. The record is from RNAcentral.
CAGUCGAGCGAAGCGGUUUUGAGGAAGUUUUCGGACGAAAUCAUAACUGACUGAGCGGCGGACGGGUGAGUAACGCGUGGGUAACCUGCCUCAUACAGGGGGAUAACAGUUAGAAAUGACUGCUAAUACCGCAUAAGCGCACAGCUUCGCAUGAAGCAGUGUGAAAAACUCCGGUGGUAUGAGAUGGACCCGCGUCUGAUUAGCUAGUUGGUAAGGUAACGGCUUACCAAGGCGACGAUCAGUAGCCGACCUGAGAGGGUGACCGGCCACAUUGGGACUGAGACACGGCCCAAACUCCUACGGGAGGCAGCAGUGGGGAAUAUUGCACAAUGGGGGAAACCCUGAUGCAGCGACGCCGCGUGAGUGAAGAAGUAUCUCGGUAUGUAAAGCUCUAUCAGCAGGGAAGAAAAUGACGGUACCUGACUAAGAAGCCCCGGCUAACUACGUGCCAGCAGCCGCGGUAAUACGUAGGGGGCAAGCGUUAUCCGGAUUUACUGGGUGUAAAGGGAGCGUAGACGGCGGAGCAAGUCUGAAGUGAAAGCCCGGGGCUCAACCCCGGGACUGCUUUGGAAACUGUUCUGCUAGAGUGCUGGAGAGGUAAGUGGAAUUCCUAGUGUAGCGGUGAAAUGCGUAGAUAUUAGGAGGAACACCAGUGGCGAAGGCGGCUUGCUGGACAGUAACUGACGUUGAGGCUCGAAAGCGUGGGGAGCAAACAGGAUUAGAUACCCUGGUAGUCCACGCCGUANACGAUGAAUGCUAGGUGUUGGAGGGNAAAGCCCUUCGGUGCCGCCGCAAACGCAAUAAGCAUUCCACCUGGGGAGUACGUUCGC